Molecule: ribosomal RNA, 460 nt
Filed under: uncultured bacterium
Lineage: Bacteria
Description: partial 16S ribosomal RNA
Rfam family: Bacterial small subunit ribosomal RNA
Source: RNAcentral
CCUACGGGAGGCAGCAGUGAGGAAUAUUGGUCAAUGGGCUUACGCCUGAACCAGCCAAGUCGCGUGAGGGAAGACUGCCCUAUGGGUUGUAAACCUCUUUUGUCAGGGAGCAACGCCGGCUACGUGUAGCCGGACUGAGAGUACCUGAAGAAAAAGCAUCGGCUAACUCCGUGCCAGCAGCCGCGGUAAUACGGAGGAUGCGAGCGUUAUCCGGAUUUAUUGGGUUUAAAGGCUGCGUAGGCGGAAUGCCAAGUCAGCGGUAAAGUCGCGGGGCUCAACCUCGCUACGCCGUUGAAACUGGCGUGCGUGAGUGGGCGAGAAGUAUGCGGAAUGCGUGGUGUAGCGGUGAAAUGCAUAGAUAUCACGCAGAACUCCGAUUGCGAAGGCAGCAUACCGGCGCCCAACUGACGCUGAAGCACGAAGGCGUGGGUAUCGAACAGGAUUAGAUACCCGGGUAGUC